CACACACACACACACUGUGUCUUCUCAUUUCUGUGUGCACACACAGGCACACAUGUGUAAAAUCUCCAUGUGUUCAGUGACACUUCCCAUCCAAAGCAGAACCUCAGGAUUUGUUUCAUUCUUCUCUUCCCAUAGUUAGAACUCCCUUCUCCAACAGGGAGGAGCCAGUUGCUGCUAUCCUUCCUAUAUUAAUUUGCUCAAUCCCAGAAUACAUUGGAAUUAGUAACCCAAAUCACAAUUAAAAAAACAAGCCAGCACACUAGACUUAGGUAUUUGCAUAGAGUUUUUUUUUAAAGUGUUUAAUCUAAGGGUACACAGUCUAAGUACAAGCUCAGAGGUCAUCUGGGUUAGUUCUUUUUUCCACAUUAGUGUGGUUAUAUUACUCAUUUGACAUGUAGUAAGAGGUUUAUUACUGUUUGAACUCCAUUUUAGGCCCCUCCCUGUUUUGUUGAUUUUUAUCCUGUAUUUUGACAUGAUUCCAAAGAUGAAACUAUACAAAAUGUUUUCUCAGAAAAGACAUCCCCUCCCACCCCAUCCCCACCCACUGAAGGAAAUCAGUCUUACUAGUUUCUUUCUUUUUUUUUUUUGGUACCAAGGAUCGAACUCCGGACCUUCGGCUUAUGAGGCAGGCAAAGGAACCAAUGAGCUAAAUCCCCAGUCCAAGUCUUACUAGUUUCUAGUUUGGCUUUCCUUGCCUUUUUGCAAAAUAAACAGAUGCACAUUUACUUAUUUUUUCUCUUCCUUACAUUUUCACUGAAGAGCUUUUUCCAACAACAGCCAAUUCUCCAACACCAGCUAGAGUCCUGCACUUAUCCUUUUCUGACACUGACCGCUGGCUUCAGUUCAGAUCCAUAGUCAGUGGCUCAGCUCCUCAACACAUCCCUUCUUUCUGGACACAAGCCCAGGACCCCCAGCCUCUUGUACUUCUGUCCAACUUGGCUACAAAGUCAGAUGCUCUUAGACCUCUUCUCAGGCUUGGUAUUCUCUAGAAUGAAUGACAGAACUAAGGCAGGCACUUUAUUUAUGUCAAAAGACAAAAUUAUAACACAUUUAACUAAAAAUCUUAAUUGGCUUUAUUUUGAUUCCAGAAUCAGACAGCAUGUCAUGCCCCAAAAUACAAGUAUUCCAGUGGGCUGGGGGUGGGGGGGGGGAUACAUGCUAGCUGGGCAUGAUGGCACAGGCCUAUAAUUCAAGCAGCCUGGGAGGCUGUGGCAGGAAGAUUGCAAGUUCAAGCCCAGCCUAGGCAAUUUACUAACUUAACAAAAUUCUGUCUUAAAAAAAAAUCAGAGACUUUUCUUCAUUCACUUCACGGCUGCAAAGAACUUCAUGAGUGGAUGACGACAGUUUGCAAGUAAUUUGACCACAACUAAUUUAUGCAUGUGUAUUUUUUUAUUGUUAGAGAUUUAUCUUCAGGGUAAAUUCCUAGCGGUAGUAUUUCUGGG
Molecule: long non-coding RNA, 1442 nt
Filed under: Heterocephalus glaber (naked mole-rat)
Lineage: Eukaryota; Metazoa; Chordata; Mammalia; Rodentia; Bathyergidae
Description: lncRNA (ENSHGLG00000042787.1)
Source: RNAcentral